RNAcentral lists this ribosomal RNA (808 nucleotides) under Streptomyces nanhaiensis. RNAcentral describes it as "bacterial SSU rRNA". It matches the Rfam family "Bacterial small subunit ribosomal RNA", at positions 100 to 925 of the family's 1533-position model. Lineage: Bacteria; Bacillati; Actinomycetota; Actinomycetes; Kitasatosporales; Streptomycetaceae. The record is from RNAcentral.
CGGGUCACUUCACGUGGGCAAUCUGCCCUGCACUCUGGGAUAACUCCGGGAAACCGGAGCUAAUACCGGAUACGAUCCUCCAGGGCAUCCUGGGGGGUGGAAAGCUCCGGCGGUGCAGGAUGAGCCCGCGGCCUAUCAGCUGGUUGGUGGGGUGACGGCCCACCAAGGCGACGACGGGUAGCCGGCCUGAGAGGGCGACCGGCCACACUGGGACUGAGACACGGCCCAGACUCCUACGGGAGGCAGCAGUGGGGAAUAUUGCACAAUGGGCGCAAGCCUGAUGCAGCGACGCCGCGUGAGGGAUGACGGCCUUCGGGUUGUAAACCUCUUUCAGCAGGGAAGAAGCGCGAGUGACGGUACCUGCAGAAGAAGCACCGGCUAACUACGUGCCAGCAGCCGCGGUAAUACGUAGGGUGCGAGCGUUGUCCGGAAUUAUUGGGCGUAAAGAGCUCGUAGGCGGCCUGUCGCGUCGGAUGUGAAAGCCCGGGGCUUAACCCCGGGUCGGCAUUCGAUACGGGCAGGCUAGAGUUCGGUAGGGGAGAUCGGAAUUCCUGGUGUAGCGGUGAAAUGCGCAGAUAUCAGGAGGAACACCGGUGGCGAAGGCGGAUCUCUGGGCCGAUACUGACGCUGAGGAGCGAAAGCGUGGGGAGCGAACAGGAUUAGAUACCCUGGUAGUCCACGCCGUAAACGUUGGGCACUAGGUGUGGGCGGCUUCCCCGUCGUCCGUGCCGCCGCUAACGCAUUAAGUGCCCCGCCUGGGGAGUACGGCCGCAAGGCUAAAACUCAAAGGAAUUGACGGGGGCCCGGG